This is a long non-coding RNA of Tympanuchus pallidicinctus (lesser prairie-chicken), 9235 nucleotides long. RefSeq lists it as uncharacterized. The record is from RefSeq and is a predicted model, not a curated record. NCBI's taxonomy places the organism in Eukaryota, Metazoa, Chordata, Aves, Galliformes, Phasianidae. The transcript is spliced from 2 exons.
CAUGUCUAAGGGCAUAUUUUGCUAUUCUCAGUCAUGUCCUGCUGCUUUCCCUCUGUCUCUCUCCUCUCUGUGCUUCUUCUUACACAUCUUUGUCUCCUUAUGCCUUGUCCUUUAAAACUUUAAGUUCCAAAAUCACUCCUCAGCUCCUGGACCUUUCUAUUAUCUCCACCACAGUGUUCUUCCCUCAGGAAAAGCCCAAACAUUUCGCACCAGAUUUCCCUGGGUAUGUUUGCUCACAUUUUAAUUUCUGUAGCUGAGGGCAGUUUUUGACUGUUGACCCACCUCUCCCUCACCAGCAGCACAUGGGGCACAAGAGAAGAAGAAAUGUAGAUCAGAAAAGGCAACACCCAAAGCCCCUCAUUCCUCAAAGUUCUUUUACUGAGUUACAAAAUGACUGCCAAAGGACCCCUGAAAUUUUGUAUACAGCGCCCUACAAGCAGAAAUAAGAGCUGUUACACCAUAAAUAGGCUCAAGAGAAGCUGUUGUGAGAGCAGCAGAGCGUGCAACAGAGGAUACCCAUCCCAGCCUAUGUUGACUCUUCAAUGAUGCUCUGUACAGGUUAUAAGCAGAGUACUGCAACAGCACUGGAAAAGCAGAACCCCCCAGGAUGAGUCAUUUGUGUAUCCUGUGAUUGUGGUUUUAUAUACCAGGCUGCCAAGAUAAAGAUUAGCAUCCUAUGAAGGAUGCUAAGAACUGUCAUAUGUUGCAGCUAAAUCAGCACUGACUGUCUACACUGGUAUCAUCUUCUAAUUUUUGUAACCUUCUUCAUUCAUCUCUUGUAGAUUUUGUGUUACCAGGAACAGAUAUCUUGCUUUCUUAAAGGGCCUAGUAUUGCUGUCACUGGCCAGGGGGGUAUUGGUGGUGCAGAGGUGACACUUUGUCACACAUGAAGCGUGAGUUUCUAAAUGCGUUCAGCACGAGGAGAAUGUGCUAAAGCAGCUGGCAUGCAAAGUGCAUUGCACAGGGUCGAGUCUCUGGUCUCCUGUGCUGCCUUGUGAAAACCUCUAUUCAUGAACUGUCUGAUCAAGUCAGCACAAGAGGAAGCAAACCUGACCUCACUAGCACACAGCAAACACCUAGAGGUAAGUGUCCUCCUGCACCCACCGUGUCCAUAUCUGUUCUGUCUGUAGCCAUGCUGACUUGGACACCAUUCCCAGCUGCUGAAAGCAACAGCUUCUUCUUUCCAGAUGGGACUCCUGUUGUACUGGGGAAGGUGAUGAAGUACUGUGAUGUCUGGUGGGCUACUCCACUCAGUCCCCCAGUACCAGCACCAGUUUCAAGUCCUUUUCUCAGACAGGAAGUGAAGGCAAAUGAUCGAUUUUCACUCCCUCCUGGUCACAUAAGAGCUGAGAAACAGCUGAGGAACUUUGUAGGGAGAGACAGAGACAUUAAGAUCUCUCCCCAAUGCAUGACAUUAUUGUCAGAUACCUUUAAACAGCAGUCUGGUGGGAUAAGUCCAUGCUGCGCUAGAAACAGCUCUUUGCAACCUCUUGUUGAUCCAUGCUCUGACCAUAAAUCAACUCCUAGUCCCUGAAUGAAGAAUGGAAACUGCAGAAAUGCUGGAUGGGGAGAUGAGUGUAUCUGUAUCUGAUGAGGAGCCGGACACUUCCACACCACAGCUCACCAAUGUGACAAGAAGCAUGGCAGUGGUCACCCUGCAAUCCACUCCAGGUUCUACUGCAAUGUGCUGAGGCAGGGUAAGUGAUACACCACAGCAACAAGAUGAGGCCCUCAAGAAACCUCUUCAGGAACUUAAAGCUGUGGCUUAAUCCUCUGAGUAAGCUCAGAGAAUUGUGGCUGACACCGAUCCAUGUUGAGGCAGACAUUGCAGGGCUUUAGUGGAAAGGCUAGGACAUGAAUAUCACAUGACCAGGCACGUUACAUACCCUAAUAGGCCAUGUACUCUCUUUUCACUGAACUACACUGGGAUAAUUGUUAAUGUCUUAUCUGAGAAUCUUACUGAAAAUACAUGACAAACAUUGUGGCCAAUUGUAUAACCAGGUAUGAUUUUAGCUGUGUUUUCAGCAAACUCUUACCAAGAUGCACUGAAGAAAGUGGCUAAAUAAAUUUAUGUUUACCAACAUCUGAUAUCAAGUGCUCCUUAAGAAAGGAGCUGGAGUGCAUCAUCUGUGUAGUUAUUUAGAGCCAUAAACACAGUAACACCAGAAAUGAGCACAGAGAGAAUGCAGAGAUUUGCCAGGAAAUGGUGACUGUAUAAUGUUAUGUUUGCAUUUAAAGGCAAGUGUUAACAGACCCUUCUGAUGGACAAUCAGCUUUAUUUUUUAGUCAAAGCAUAGACUUGCAAGCAAUGUAAACCAAAAUUGUCUGGAAGUGUAAUGAAUAUACUUGCAGGAAACCCAAGCACUUUUAGUGAUAAAGAUAGCCACUACAAUACCUAGUGCAACAACAACUGAUGAUCUGUGUGAAGUUUUGCAUUUUCUUGAUGUAUUGGCAGAUAGUCAUAGCUUCAUUCAGAAGCAUCAAUAUGCACUUUUUUUUUCUUAUUUGUUGCUGACCUAAGAUAGUUCAAAAGCAAAUCAUGAAUACUCUAGCCUUUGAGGUAUCACAACCCUAAGCUGAGCUAACAAGAACAUCCUGCAACCAAACAAAGAAAGAACGAUCUUCUGUGCUUCGGGAAUAACAAAAGGUAUGGCAGUCGUGAUCGUUACACUCAGCCAUGCAGCCACGCACUGAGUGCUAAUCAAUAGAGACGGAUUUAGAAACCCAUGUAAGUCAUUUCCAGCAACAGAGGUAAGCAGAGGGCUCAGAAAUAGCAUAGCAACGAGAUUGUUCUGCCUGAAGAAAGCCAUUGCCAUCACUCCCACUCCAUCGCCGUCAGCUGUGACACACACAGGCCAUGUAAAUGAUAUCAUUUCAGUGCUGAGUGAGUGCAGCAUUUGGGCUUUUCUACUCUGAAAUUGCACAUACUUGCAAUCUGCUCUGAGUGCCUGUUUAAAAUGAUAUUCAUGUCAGGAUUUGUAUCCCAUCUGGAUAUGAGCGAAUACAUGGCAAGCUGACUUUGUACCACACCCAUAUGGACCUGAAAGCCUGACACUCCCGCCCUCCCCCAGAAGAGCACUUACAUCUUCAAGAUGCAGACUGCUGGGCCUUCAUCAGGCAGCUGUGCUGUUGGGCAUUGCAGCCUGAAUCUCAGCACCGGACCACACUUGCUUCUGUAUCAUCUCCCUUUGUUCGUGCCUGUCUCAUGUCAUUUUUUGAUACUGAACUUCCCACUGUUUAAAUCUCUCAAGGUCACUCCGCAGUUUUGGCUCUUAUGCUAAAACAAGAGGGAAAGGUUUUGAAAGCACUUUCUCUGUGGCUGCAGGGACUCUGGCAGGGCACUGCUUAGGAGUAUGACAGUGAAAGAGAAGUGGCGUGUGUCCAUGCAGAUCAAGUUUAUGUGAAUCACAAAAAUCAUUAAGAUAGUUACAGCUUUGAACCCAUAUUUCACACAUUCUUGCAACAGUGAGCGUUUGUGAGCACAGCAUGUGCUGAUAUGGGACACUGUCUUUGACUAGAAACUCCAGACGUGCAAAGCAGUACAAGCAGUUGCCACUCAACUUGGAUAUGUGCAACUUCACAGCACUGUUGCAGUUCACUAAAGAAGCAGUGAACCCUGAGGAUGUUGUCAAAGCACAAACUCUUUACUGGUUAUCCAUAGAUACUUCCUUCUCAUGCCUGCAUCCUUUCAGGGGCUCUUUUGGAAAAAUGGAGGCAUGUGCUCAAGCAGUUGAUGUGUACAACGCUUACACAGAUGUGGUUUCAAUUGAGCAUAGAAGAAGCAAGGAUGGUUUGCAUUCAACCUCACUUCAGACUGUUUAGGGCAAUUGCCUAGGCUCAUCCCAUAGCUAGUGAGGAUAGAGAGGAGCAUUUUCAGGGGCCAGUUCAUCCCACUUAUGCUAUAAGCAUCUUUUAGGAUAUAGUGCUUUGUCUGCUGGUUCCUAUCUCUCCCCAGUGGCCACAGAAGAAUGUUGGUUUAGAUUGUGUAUCUAAUUCAUAGCAGAAUUAAGUUAGAUAAGAAAAACCUCAUGCCUUGGGAUUAUUGUGGGUAUUCAGUUUCCAAGCAAAACUCUGAAGAGCCAUCAAAACUUUCAUAAAUGCCCAGGUAGAUGUAAAAACAGAUUUGUGAGUGAUUUUAUAAUAGGAAGAUACUACAGCAACAGUACAAGUGUUGUUUUAGAUUUCUGUGUUGUCAGACUGCAAUUUCUGCUAUAUUUCAUUUCCUACUGUGCCAGGUUUUGCCUCCCUGAAACUGAGAAGCAGUUUUCUUUGGGUAUCAGAAUAGGAGCUAUGUGUACACCUGGACAAUUUCCAAGAACUUUCCAAAACUGAGAAGUCAUAUUAAAUAGGUUUUUUUUUUUUUGGUAUUUUAGAACAUAAUUUUGUUGUUAUGACUGGCAGAGGGGAAUCCCGUCCUUGCUGUAUAUGUUGCAUGAAUGGGAGUUCAAAAAGAGACAUCUAAAAUAACAGUCUUGGAGGUAUAUCUGCAGAUUUGAGUUGCAUGUUUUGAUGGUCCUAAUGCUGUGAUUAGAGAAAUAGCAUUGACUGGAGACCAGAGACUUUUAUUUGAAAAUCAGCUCAAUUUGCUCAUGCCUUUUGGCAAUACUGGACAGAGUUCUGAGUUCUUCACACAGACUUCUUAGUUCACAGAUUUUGCCUUAAGGCUGAACUGUUCCUUUUUUCUAUGCCUAUACGCAAUGCUCCGGCAAACACAAUAGAAAGGCAUAUUGGAAAGCUUUCAGCCUCUUGCACCGCUUAACACAAUCCUUGUAGCUGUCUGUGUUGUUUACUCAGCCACCAAUAGUAAAAAGCAUUCCUUCUCAUCUUUCUUUGCUUUAUUUUUUAACCCAAUCCAAGCCAAAAGAAAGCAGCCUCCCAGUUACAGACCUCUGCAGGAAAGGCUGCUUGUGUGAAGCUGAAAUGGAGCCAGAGCACACCAGCAAGGAAGCUGUGAUUUCAUCCAACAGAAACUCAGAGGCUUCACUGCAGCACUUUGUGCAGAUGCAGCAUCAUUCAGGCCGGGUGCUCAGCCAGUGCUAGCAGAGGAGUCCCUGAGAGGAUGCCCGUGUGAUUCUGUGCCACUGUCCCUUGCUUUGUAGCUCCAGCCCUCUGAGGAAACCAGGUAUGCUCUGCAGGUUUUAAAAUAUUUUUUAUUCCUUGGAAUGAUGCCUAAUUUCCAAGGUAAGGAUGAAGUGCAUGCAAAUGGGGAAUAUUGAUAAUAGAAGGAGAUGUCACCAAGGAUGUCACCGUUCCUCUUGUGGUGGAGCUGUGGCAGUCAGGUGUCCUGGGGGAGGAGGUGCAAGAAAAUGAGCCUAAGUGAGAUAGCUGGGCACUGCUGUGGGAGGGUUCAGAGUAGUCUGCAGCCAAAUAGUGGGAAUCCUGAGAGGUUCUGCCAUAAGGACCAAGUGAUCAGAGGUGAGUAGCAGCUAUGGCAUGAGCUGUGGUGCUUGUCUGGGGAAUGCUCAGACGUGAAGAGUGCUGUUGGCUUGAGAUUUGUGCUUCACCUGGUGUCAAGCCAGCACUCAAGGAGUGCUGGUGGGCAGCUGGUGUGGAGGGCUCAGGGAGCUGUGAGCUGGGUUGGGGAAACACUGGAGAUCAGAGCAAACACACUUGCACCAGUGAGACUCCAGGGUGACUGCUGAAAGCUGUAGAGUAACACCAACAAAACUGUAAACAGGACUUGGCCUUGCAAUUAGAAAAGAAGGUUUGGCAGAGGGCUUGGAGGGGUGCUGUGUGCUAGCUUCUGGUUGUAUAAAUGUAUGUUUCUCAAAUAUCUGAGCUAGUUUCUGAGUUUGUGUCUGAAGCAUUCUGAGCCUGUAUCAUCUUUCAUGUGGAACAAAGAAACUGUUGCAUUUCAGACAGUCACCCCCUCAAUUAUUUAAUGUAACUAAAUACCUGUGCCCAGCUCCGCAGACUUACGUAAAGCUGCAAAACUGGCUCAGUUCCUUGCCUUGAAUCAGUGCUAUUUUCCUUUUCUGUAAGCUACGUUAUGGCAUCAAAUGAGUGAAUUGGAGCAAUGCAAGAGACAUUUGGACAAAGAACAGAAAACAUGACCAGGCAAGUGUGGAGGGGAGGGAACGUGAUGCUCCCUGGACAGCCCGGGCUGCAACGCAGUCUGCUGCUACUUGUGGGGAAGUGAGAGCAUCUGAAGUACGACACACUUUGUGUUUGACAAUAAAUCCAGAGCCUGCUCAAGAAUGCUCAUCUGGAGAAAGUGGCUCCUACAGAAAGGCAGGGAGCACAAAGGCUGAGUGUUAUCACAGGGGCUGCUCCAUGAGCCGUGUUUGUCCAAGGACAGACAAUGAGUACCCUGUGAGCUGCCCUGAUGCUGAUUUUUGCACCCCUUUUCUUUCUCUGCAUCAUCAUUCCUCCUUCCAAAUCUGUCUCCUGUGCCAGAGAUGAAGCUGUAAGUACCAGGAGGGAAUAAUGUCUGUAAACAUUCUCACUAGAAGAGCCGUAGGAAAACGUCCCUUUUGCUCUGCCAACAUGAGCACCUAUUAUCCACUGUGCUAGGUGGGGAGCAGGCUCUGAAGCACCUCAGGUCUCACAAAUGCCUCCAGCACCUGCAGGGCAUUUCUGAGCAGCCCCAAAGGCACUAAGGUGUUGCUGUACCAGCAGGUGAGGAGUUCCAGAAGAAGGUUGCCUCUCCCUGGUCCUGCUUCCCCACAGCUGGCAAUUGUUGCCAUGAGCACUUCUGGUUAGCGCCUUGCAUAGAGUCAUAAACUCAUAGACUCAUAGAAUGGCUUGGGUUGGAAGAGACCUUAAAGAUUGUCUAGAUCCACCCAUCCUGUGUAGAUGGCUUUGUAGGGAGCACUGCUGCCACUGUUGUUUCAGUAAUGCCAAGAGCCAUCAGCAGGCUUUCUGUGACUAAAUGUAGCGUGCUCCACUGUUAUUUAUGGAGACGGAUGGCUGCCUCUGGAGAGGGAGACAUCCAUUGUUCUAAUCAGAGAAAAAGCCUGUUAAAAUUGAGCAUCUACCUCUGAUGAAUUUCCUUCCCCUUUCCAGCAGAGAUAAUUCACUCAGAAGUUUGUGUCUCUCUUUUAUGCUUUUUGCCUCUCACACUGAGGGCCAGAACAUUUUGAUUACUGCACUGGGGACUGGAGAUGAAGAUGUUAGAUUGCCAACCUCAAAUCAUGGGGGGAAACGCAGUCCGAGGGUUGUGCAGUAACAGAAUUGUUUUGUUUAUUGUUAAGUUAGCAAAAAUUACAGACUUUCUGUGCCAGAAAAUGAUCUAUGUUUAUUAAUUUAUUCACAGUGUUGUGAUUAACAUAUUUCUGCUGACAGUCUGGCUGCUUAUUUGUUUGCCUUAAACAAGCAAAUGAGUAAAUGAAAAACAGUUAAAAUAGAGUACUAUCAUUUGUUUGUGAAAGACAGAAAGUUUUGCUGCUGAAUCUUUCUAAUGCUUCACUGAUGGCAAUAAAAUGAUGUUUAGAACAACCGAGCUGAAAGAAAGAGAAAAAGAAAGAAAGUGGAGGGGAGGAAGGGGAAUACAGAUUAGUACAACAAAUGCUUUUUGUCUGUGUUUUGAUAUCUGACCUGAAGUGGUCAUAAAGGCCUGUAGAAAGAAAGAGUUCCCCAUGAAGUCUCACAGAAAUCUGUGCUUGGCCUUGUGUUGAACAUACAGGUUACCCGGAAAAUGAAGAGCAGCUUGAGGUGCAAGUGCUUCUGGAUGAUCAGUUUCACUAGGUAGUAAAAUGAAGGUCAGCUGGGAAGAAGAUUUCAAGGUGUGGGUUUUCUGAACAAAAGCCCCCCUGCUGAAACAACCCAGAUUUCCAAGGCAAAGAGAGAAGUGCCAGAUUUCCAACCCCCAGUGCUCAGGCAGAAGAGGUCUCUGGAUUAUGGUGGGUUUUUAUGAAGCUGUCAGCCCAGCACUCAGUGGUGGAAGGGGAGUGUAACAUUAGGAAAGCACAAAGAGGAAAACAUAGCAUAGUAUGCUGGAAAUUUGUUGGGGAAGCAGCACCUUGAAUAUUGUCUGCAGCUCCAGUUCUCUCAUGCUAAAAAAGAACAACAAAAGGUAGAAAAAAGGACAAGAUACCUGAAGCAACUUGUACACCAUGAAUGAUUAAACAGCCUGGGACUGGUGAGGAGUGGAAAAAAAGGAGGGGAGAUUUGACAAUGAAUCCUAACACCACAGGCAGCACAGUGAGAUGGACUAGAGAAAGACUUUUCUGUUUUACAACACAGAAGAACUAGAGAAAACCAACAGAAAUAGGCGGGCAAGAUCAGAAAAGAUAAAGAGAGGCAUAAAAAUCUUUGUUAUUGUGAGUUGCAGAUGAGCUUUUUGCAGUGGAUUAGGAACAUAAGGAGGUCUGUAUUUUCCCAUGGAUAGGAGAUCCAACUAGAGACACAAGUGGACUUAAAAAGGAUGCAUGGAAAUGGCAGUCUGGCCUGCCUUUAUUGAGGUCUCUCCCUGGCUUCACUGGCUCAGCUCGAGAGCUCUUUCCUUUUCAUGUUUAUUUACUGUAGAACAGAGUUUGGGCUGUGGAGUUUGGGCACAUGACAGUGUGUAACUGUAAGAAAUUACCAUCUGAUGUAAUCCAUACAUUUGGUACUCAUGAGAAAGUGCAAACUACAGCUCAAAGUGCUGUAUGUAUACAUUUAUUAUACUAUUUGCAUUCCUCAUUAUGCUUCUCUCAUUUUUGUAGUGUGAAUUGUUCCAACUUCAAUUGUUUCUACAAAAACUGAUUACAAUCAAGCUUUCUCACAUCAUCAAAACUCAGGACGUACCGAGCAUUUUAAUUCCAAUUUAGCCUACCUAGCAAUUAGUGAUUUACCUCAAUGACUUUUAAGUUCACUUUAAACUGGGUGAAUUCCUUCUAAAUGGGAAGGCCAAGGUUGGUUAAACUAUAUGGGCUAAUUCAAAACUGGUAAUUCAAGUCAUUUUGACUUCUUUCCCACUGAUUACAUGUAGGACAAAUAUAGAGUUCAUACAACAUGCUAUAGCCAGGCUCUCUGGUUACCUGCUUAUCUUUUCUGGAAACUGGAAUUAGAACCACCAUUCAGCUCAGUGCUGGCCAGGAGUUAUUGCAGUGGAGUCAAGCACUUCUGGUGAUCCAGCCCCGCAAGCCUAGACAGCUAAAGGAUGCUUCCUGAACUUUCAGCUCUGAAGCCAUUUAACCUCACUUAAUUUUGCCUUUGCAAACACAUUAAAUAAUGUUUUCAUUUUCUCCUUUCUGGUUUUGUGUACCACUCUAGUCAGCUAGUCAAACAUGAAGAACUCAGGCAUGAAACAUAA